Long non-coding RNA from Armigeres subalbatus, 819 nucleotides. RefSeq lists it as uncharacterized. The transcript has 3 exons. Lineage: Eukaryota; Metazoa; Arthropoda; Insecta; Diptera; Culicidae. The record is from RefSeq and is a predicted model, not a curated record.
UAAAUCAACAUUUUAUUUUAUGUGCACGAAUCAUAUAGAAUAGAUUUGACUGGCUUCACCACGACUUUAAAUGCAGCAUUUAAAAUUUAUUUAUCAACAACGAUAUUCAAUGGCUAACUACAUACAAUAUAAUGGAAAUUUAUUUAUAUACUAUCAGGCCACCUAAUGAAUUUUAUGUGCAAUGAUCGAUGGUAGAUAAUUAUCAAUACUUGCACAUAAAACUUAAUAGCUAACAGUAAUUUUUGCCUCAACAACAUGGCUGGAUGUUGAGUGUUGGCUGUCGACGAAAUUUUUCUCUGGCGGAAAAUUUUUGGUUUGAAUUCCGGCCAUAGACGAUAACAAAAACGCAAAGCCAGCUAUUCUUAGACAUCACCAGCCAGUUUUGCUGUGCCAGGCCCAGGAUAUCUGCGCGUCGGGGUAACUUUUCCAUUAUGGAAUCAAGUAGAUCGACAAUGGUGUGCUUGCAAUGGUGUGAUGACCCGACAGGCGGUGUUUUGCACAAAUAAAACCUCGAAAUCAUCUAUAUAUAGAAGAAAUCACUGCCAUUCAUUUUCAUUCCAACAAGUCAAGUUCUAGCCAUCGGUCGGCAUCUUGUUUUAGUUGGGUGGAUAAUAGGCCUUUGCCUGUGAUCUACCAGAAGCAUCUGUGUAACAUACAGCCGAUCAAAUAACCGACUAAAUCGACCGAUUUGAGCAGUCAUGUUUUAUAGGGAAGCAAAAAAUAUUGUGCUAGCUAUUGCCUCUCUUCUUGUUAUUUAGUGGCAACUUCUGAAAAUUUCUCCAGCAAUCAUCGCUAAUUUGAUCUUAUAUAAAGCUGAAA